RNAcentral lists this transfer RNA (71 nucleotides) under Ictidomys tridecemlineatus (thirteen-lined ground squirrel). Its description in RNAcentral is "Spermophilus tridecemlineatus (thirteen-lined ground squirrel) tRNA". It matches the Rfam family "tRNA". Rfam says of the family: Transfer RNA (tRNA) molecules are approximately 80 nucleotides in length. Their secondary structure includes four short double-helical elements and three loops (D, anti-codon, and T loops). The record is from Rfam by way of RNAcentral. Lineage: Eukaryota; Metazoa; Chordata; Mammalia; Rodentia; Sciuridae.
GUGGUUGUGGCUCAGUAGUAGAGUGUUUGCCUUGCAUGUGUGAGGCCCUGGGUUCAAUCCUUAGCACCACA